UUGUUUGUUUCUCAAACAUAGAGCUGCCAAAUGCUGUUAAAUCAGCUGAGAGAAAUCACGGGCAUUCAGGACCCUUCCUUCCUUCAAGAAGCUCUGAAGGCCAGUAAUGGUGACAUCACUCUGGCAGUCAGUCUUCUCACAGAUGAAAGAGUGAAGGAGCCCAGUCAAGACACUGUUGCUACAGAACCAUCUGAAGUAGAGCGGAGUGCUGCCAACAAA
Myotis brandtii (Brandt's bat) is the source of this 219-nucleotide long non-coding RNA. RefSeq lists it as uncharacterized. The transcript has 2 exons. The record is from RefSeq and is a predicted model, not a curated record. Lineage: Eukaryota; Metazoa; Chordata; Mammalia; Chiroptera; Vespertilionidae.